Molecule: ribosomal RNA, 496 nt
Filed under: Leucopsacus sp. BX12/6
Lineage: Eukaryota; Metazoa; Porifera; Hexactinellida; Lyssacinosida; Leucopsacidae
Description: partial 16S ribosomal RNA
Rfam family: Bacterial large subunit ribosomal RNA
Source: RNAcentral
CGACUGUUUACCAAAAACAUAGCCAAUAGAAAAAAUUAUUAAUGGUGAUGCCUGCUCAAUAGUUAAACAUAAACCAUAAAAAAUAAUUAAAUAGCUGCGGUAACACCUGACCGUGCAAAGGUAGCAUAAUAAAUCGCCUACUAAUUAUAGGAUAGAAUGAAGGUAAUACGAAGACCCAACUGUCUCAAAACGAAAAAAUAUAAAAUAGAAUGUGUGUGCAAAUCCACACCAAGACGGCAAGACGAUAAGACCCUAAGAACUUUACCAAAAACUUAAAAACAAAAAGUUAAGUCGUAAGUUUCGUUGGGGCAACGAUCUUUCAAAAAGUAACUAAGAUUAACCAAUCACACCAAAACACAAAUUAUAAACAAGACGAUAAGACCCAUUAUAAAAAAAAAGAUAAUGAUAACAUAAUAAAAGUUCCCUAGGGAUAACAGCGUUAUAUCGUUUCCAGAGAAUCAUCCAAACGAUGUUUGCGACCUCGAUGUUGAAUUAC